CUGACGAGUGGCGAACGGGUGAGUAAUAUAUCGGAACGUACCCAAGAGUGGGGGAUAACGUAGCGAAAGUUACGCUAAUACCGCAUACGAUCCAAGGAUGAAAGCAGGGGACCUUCGGGCCUUGUGCUCCUGGAGCGGCCGAUAUCUGAUUAGCUAGUAGGUAGGGUAAAGGCCUACCUAGGCGACGAUCAGUAGCUGGUCUGAGAGGACGACCAGCCACACUGGAACUGAGACACGGUCCAGACUCCUACGGGAGGCAGCAGUGGGGAAUUUUGGACAAUGGGCGCAAGCCUGAUCCAGCAAUGCCGCGUGAGUGAAGAAGGCCUUCGGGUUGUAAAGCUCUUUUGUCAGGGAAGAAACGGGAGUGGCUAAUAUCCAUUCUUAAUGACGGUACCUGAAGAAUAAGCACCGGCUAACUACGUGCCAGCAGCCGCGGUAAUACGUAGGGUGCAAGCGUUAAUCGGAAUUACUGGGCGUAAAGCGUGCGCAGGCGGUUUUGUAAGUCUGACGUGAAAUCCCCGGGCUCAACCUGGGAAUUGCGUUGGAGACUGCAAGGCUAGAAUCUGGCAGAGGGGGGUAGAAUUCCACGUGUAGCAGUGAAAUGCGUAGAGAUGUGGAGGAACACCGAUGGCGAAGGCAGCCCCCUGGGUCAAGAUUGACGCUCAUGCACGAAAGCGUGGGGAGCAAACAGGAUUAGAUACCCUGGUAGUCCACGCCCUAAACGAUGUCUACUAGUUGUCGGGUUUUAAU
Molecule: ribosomal RNA, 750 nt
Filed under: uncultured Massilia sp.
Lineage: Bacteria; Pseudomonadati; Pseudomonadota; Betaproteobacteria; Burkholderiales; Oxalobacteraceae
Description: bacterial SSU rRNA
Rfam family: Bacterial small subunit ribosomal RNA
Source: RNAcentral